RNAcentral lists this ribosomal RNA (482 nucleotides) under Salmonella enterica subsp. enterica serovar Kentucky. Its description in RNAcentral is "partial 23S ribosomal RNA". It matches the Rfam family "Bacterial large subunit ribosomal RNA", at positions 911 to 1390 of the family's 2925-position model. The record is from RNAcentral. Lineage: Bacteria; Pseudomonadati; Pseudomonadota; Gammaproteobacteria; Enterobacterales; Enterobacteriaceae.
UGUUUCGGCUAGGGGGCCAUCCCGGCUUACCAACCCGAUGCAAACUGCGAAUACCGGAGAAUGUUAUCACGGGAGACACACGGCGGGUGCUAACGUCCGUCGUGAAGAGGGAAACAACCCAGACCGCCAGCUAAGGUCCCAAAGUCAUGGUUAAGUGGGAAACGAUGUGGGAAGGCCCAGACAGCCAGGAUGUUGGCUUAGAAGCAGCCAUCAUUUAAAGAAAGCGUAAUAGCUCACUGGUCGAGUCGGCCUGCGCGGAAGAUGUAACGGGGCUAAACCAUGCACCGAAGCUGCGGCAGCGACACUGUGUGUUGUUGGGUAGGGGAGCGUUCUGUAAGCCUGCGAAGGUGUCCCGUGAGGGAUGCUGGAGGUAUCAGAAGUGCGAAUGCUGACAUAAGUAACGAUAAAGCGGGUGAAAAGCCCGCUCGCCGGAAGACCAAGGGUUCCUGUCCAACGUUAAUCGGGGCAGGGUGAGUCGACCC